Molecule: non-coding RNA, 252 nt
Organism: Pantherophis guttatus
Lineage: Eukaryota; Metazoa; Chordata; Lepidosauria; Squamata; Colubridae
Source: RefSeq, a predicted model, not a curated record
AGAGAUCUGGAACAUAUGAAACUUGGAGAUAAUUUUAUUACAUGGAGGAAGAACAAGCUAAAGAAUCUAUGACAAAGUGAGCUAAGAAUUUCGACCCAGAAAGAUUCAAUAUUACGCAUUAUGAGGAAAUGGUUGGUAAAGUUGACAGAGUUUGCUGAAAAGGUUAUCCCCUGAAUUGGCUUCAGCUGCUUUUGUACUUCAACAAAUGAUCCUGCAAUCUUUGGGGGAAAUAAUGAUGAUGUUAUUCAUUCA